AGACCCGAAACCCGGUGAUCUAGCCAUGGGCAGGUUGAAGGUUGGGUAACACUAACUGGAGGACCGAACCGACUAAUGUUGAAAAAUUAGCGGAUGACCUGUGGCUGGGGGUGAAAGGCCAAUCAAACCGGGAGAUAGCUGGUUCUCCCCGAAAGCUAUUUAGGUAGCGCCUCGUGAAUUCAUCUCCGGGGGUAGAGCACUGUUUCGGCUAGGGGGCCAUCCCGGCUUACCAACCCGAUGCAAACUGCGAAUACCGGAGAAUGUUAUCACGGGAGACACACGGCGGGUGCUAACGUCCGUCGUGAAGAGGGAAACAACCCAGACCGCCAGCUAAGGUCCCAAAGUCAUGGUUAAGUGGGAAACGAUGUGGGAAGGCCCAGACAGCCAGGAUGUUGGCUUAGAAGCAGCCAUCAUUUAAAGAAAGCGUAAUAGCUCACUGGUCGAGUCGGCCUGCGCGGAAGAUGUAACGGGGCUAAACCAUGCACCGAAGCUGCGGCAGCGAACGUAUCACCCAAGACAACUUUACGGAGUUGACGAUUGACGGAGCGAAGCGACGUCAAAGCGUUCAUUAAAGUCGAGUUGGCUUAGGGAUACGUUCGUUGGGUAGGGGAGCGUUCUGUAAGCCUGUGAAGGUGUGUCGUGAGGCAUGCUGGAGGUAUCAGAAGUGCGAAUGCUGACAUAAGUAACGAUAAAGCGGGUGAAAAGCCCGCUCGCCGGAAGACCAAGGGUUCCUGUCCAACGUUAAUCGGGGCAGGGUGAGUCGACCCCUAAGGCGAGGCCGAAAGGCGUAGUCGAUGGGAAACGGGUUAAUAUUCCCGUACUUGGUGUUACUGCGAAGGGGGGACGGAGAAGGCUAUGUUGGCCGGGCGACGGUUGUCCCGGUUUAAGCGUGUAGGUGUGUGUUCCAGGUAAAUCCGGUUCACUUUAACACUGAGGCGUGAUGACGAGGCACUACGGUGCUGAAGCAACAAAUGCCCUGCUUCCAGGAAAAGCCUCUAAGCAUCAGGUAACAUCAAAUCGU
This 1021-nucleotide ribosomal RNA is filed under the name Salmonella enterica subsp. enterica serovar Typhimurium. RNAcentral's name for it is "partial 23S ribosomal RNA". It matches the Rfam family "Bacterial large subunit ribosomal RNA", at positions 711 to 1645 of the family's 2925-position model. Lineage: Bacteria; Pseudomonadati; Pseudomonadota; Gammaproteobacteria; Enterobacterales; Enterobacteriaceae. The record is from RNAcentral.